RNAcentral lists this ribosomal RNA (932 nucleotides) under Bacillus subtilis. RNAcentral describes it as "bacterial SSU rRNA". It matches the Rfam family "Bacterial small subunit ribosomal RNA", at positions 1 to 920 of the family's 1533-position model. Lineage: Bacteria; Bacillati; Bacillota; Bacilli; Caryophanales; Bacillaceae. The record is from RNAcentral.
UAGAGUUUGAUCCUGGCUCAGGACGAACGCUGGCGGCGUGCCUAAUACAUGCAAGUCGAGCGGACAGAUGGGAGCUUGCUCCCUGAUGUUAGCGGCGGACGGGUGAGUAACACGUGGGUAACCUGCCUGUAAGACUGGGAUAACUCCGGGAAACCGGGGCUAAUACCGGAUGCUUGUUUGAACCGCAUGGUUCAGACAUAAAAGGUGGCUUCGGCUACCACUUACAGAUGGACCCGCGGCGCAUUAGCUAGUUGGUGAGGUAACGGCUCACCAAGGCGACGAUGCGUAGCCGACCUGAGAGGGUGAUCGGCCACACUGGGACUGAGACACGGCCCAGACUCCUACGGGAGGCAGCAGUAGGGAAUCUUCCGCAAUGGACGAAAGUCUGACGGAGCAACGCCGCGUGAGUGAUGAAGGUUUUCGGAUCGUAAAGCUCUGUUGUUAGGGAAGAACAAGUGCCGUUCAAAUAGGGCGGCACCUUGACGGUACCUAACCAGAAAGCCACGGCUAACUACGUGCCAGCAGCCGCGGUAAUACGUAGGUGGCAAGCGUUGUCCGGAAUUAUUGGGCGUAAAGGGCUCGCAGGCGGUUUCUUAAGUCUGAUGUGAAAGCCCCCGGCUCAACCGGGGAGGGUCAUUGGAAACUGGGGAACUUGAGUGCAGAAGAGGAGAGUGGAAUUCCACGUGUAGCGGUGAAAUGCGUAGAGAUGUGGAGGAACACCAGUGGCGAAGGCGACUCUCUGGUCUGUAACUGACGCUGAGGAGCGAAAGCGUGGGGAGCGAACAGGAUUAGAUACCCUGGUAGUCCACGCCGUAAACGAUGAGUGCUAAGUGUUAGGGGGUUUCCGCCCCUUAGUGCUGCAGCUAACGCAUUAAGCACUCCGCCUGGGGAGUACGGUCGCAAGACUGAAACUCAAAGGAAUUGACGGGGGC